This 45-nucleotide non-coding RNA is filed under the name Schistosoma haematobium. The record is from RNAcentral. Lineage: Eukaryota; Metazoa; Platyhelminthes; Trematoda; Strigeidida; Schistosomatidae.
AUACAAUCGAUGAGUCCCAAAUAGAACGAAACGCGCGUCCUGAAU